This is a long non-coding RNA of Paramormyrops kingsleyae, 1308 nucleotides long. RefSeq lists it as uncharacterized. Lineage: Eukaryota; Metazoa; Chordata; Actinopteri; Osteoglossiformes; Mormyridae. The record is from RefSeq and is a predicted model, not a curated record.
CGGGGAGGAACCUCGCGCUCUGCCAAAGGAGUCCUGUCACACGCCACGUGCUGCUGUUCGCGGGGGACAAGGGCGCCCGCAGUCACCCGCUUACCCGAAUAGCGUAAUGCAUGGAUGAUAAAUAACGGCGGGGUAUAAUCGCGUCGACGCAAAACAGACGACACAGGGGGAAGGUCCUGUGUAGGAGAACCAGGCUGUGCCACCUACCAAGAUGUGAUCACCCCAGGCCUUGUGAAUCAUCGCCUUCGGAUUGCCGGCACUCCCUUGGUUUACCGUUGCCAGUUCACCAACCCCUCUUCAGAUCGGUGGGCGUACGCUUGGCAUUAGCUAACGGCGGGCACAUUUUCCAGAACACCCGUCUUGUGUGCCAUCUAUCAUUACGUGCCAUGAGGUCUCGUCUGGUACGCUUCAGACGUGACAUGCCAUGGAGAAGGAAUGCCUCGCCUCUGCCUGACAAGCAAACUCCUGCUCAGUCAUUCUGCAUUAACUUCUAGGGGCAUUUUCUGCUUGUAGGUUUGUCUUUUUCUCAUCCUGACACAUGUUAUCACACAGUCGGACUUACGUAAGUGUGCUGCCGGGCCAGGAUGGGUUGGAGCGCAGGUUGGCCCUCUCCCCAUCGACCCCUAGGACUUGCUGACAUCACACGCCACAACUAGUGCAUCAAAUACCUUAUAUGAUACACAUAGUGCUGUGGAUCCUUAGUGUAAAGCAUAUUCUGCUAUUAGUAGUGUUGUCUUUUUCCUCCAACUGCAGUGUUUUGGGGUGUGAGCCUUCUACCCACAUGACCGUCCUCCUAAGAAAGAUGGACUUGACGCAAGUAGCUUUACAGGUUCUCUGGUUCCCUUGAUAUUAUCGGUUCACCUCCUGCAAAAAAAAAAAAAAAAAGUACGGCCUCACAUGCCUUUUGGCAGCAAUAAUCUAAUUGCUGCUGUAUUUAAAUCCUCUGCGCAAUGAGUAAAACUGGCCAGUGGGUCAGGUUUCAUUAGGAAGCCCCCACCCCACGGACGACCCCACCCCACGGCGAAUCAGAAACGGCCAGUCGCAUCGCAGCUGCAGGACUCGCCGUGCGAAGCAUGUGCCGGAUCAGCGGCGCUCAUGCAGCACCAGUGUAAGGUUAGGGAGCAGUACUCAACAUGCGAUAUUUAGAGAGAGACCGUUUCCUUUAUGUCAACACUGUAUCAAAUGUCCAUCAAAAUACAAUAAAGUGAAAUUUCCGUGAAACGACAUUCCAAUGGACAUUUAUGCAGGGGUGUGAAAUUUUAGGGUAAGUCCAGUAAAUCCAGGUGCUAAAUAAAACAUUACACCUAA